RNAcentral lists this transfer RNA (83 nucleotides) under Actinomycetota bacterium. RNAcentral's name for it is "tRNA-Leu". It matches the Rfam family "tRNA". Rfam says of the family: Transfer RNA (tRNA) molecules are approximately 80 nucleotides in length. The record is from RNAcentral. Lineage: Bacteria; Bacillati; Actinomycetota.
GCCGGAGUGGCGGAAUUGGCAGACGCGCACGACUCAAACUCGUGUAGGUUUUACCUGUGGGGGUUCAAGUCCCCCCUCCGGCA